This 466-nucleotide ribosomal RNA is filed under the name uncultured bacterium. RNAcentral's name for it is "bacterial SSU rRNA". It matches the Rfam family "Bacterial small subunit ribosomal RNA", at positions 917 to 1382 of the family's 1533-position model. The record is from RNAcentral.
GGGCCCGCACAAGCGGUGGAGCAUGUGGUUCAAUUCGACGCAACGCGAAGAACCUUACCUGGGCUCGAACGGCUCGUGAACGACUGUGGAAACACGGUUUUCCCGCAAGGGACUAGAGUCGAGGUGCUGCAUGGCUGUCGUCAGCUCGUGUCGUGAGAUGUUGGGUUAAGUCCCGCAACGAGCGCAACCCUUGUCCUGUGUUACCAUGCCGAAAGGCGGCACUCGCAGGAGACCGCCAGCGAUAAGCUGGAGGAAGGUGGGGAUGACGUCAAGUCCUCAUGGCCUUUAUGUCCAGGGCUACACACGUGCUACAAUGGGCGGUACAAAGCGCUGCUAAAUCGCAAGAUGGAGCCAAUCGCAGAAAGCCGCUCUCAGUUCGGAUUGCAGGCUGCAACUCGCCUGCAUGAAGCUGGAAUCGCUAGUAAUGCUAUAUCAGAAUGAUAGCGUGAAUACGUUCCCGGGCCUU